AAAUUGAAGAGUUUGAUCAUGGCUCAGAUUGAACGCUGGCGGCAGGCCUAACACAUGCAAGUCGAACGGUAACAGGAAGCAGCUUGCUGCUUCGCUGACGAGUGGCGGACGGGUGAGUAAUGUCUGGGAAGCUGCCUGAUGGAGGGGGAUAACUACUGGAAACGGUGGCUAAUACCGCAUAACGUCGCAAGACCAAAGAGGGGGACCUUCGGGCCUCUUGCCAUCAGAUGUGCCCAGAUGGGAUUAGCUAGUUGGUGAGGUAACGGCUCACCAAGGCGACGAUCCCUAGCUGGUCUGAGAGGAUGACCAGCCACACUGGAACUGAGACACGGUCCAGACUCCUACGGGAGGCAGCAGUGGGGAAUAUUGCACAAUGGGCGCAAGCCUGAUGCAGCCAUGCCGCGUGUAUGAAGAAGGCCUUAGGGUUGUAAAGUACUUUCAGCGGGGAGGAAGGUGUUGUGGUUAAUAACCGCAGCAAUUGACGUUACCCGCAGAAGAAGCACCGGCUAACUCCGUGCCAGCAGCCGCGGUAAUACGGAGGGUGCAAGCGUUAAUCGGAAUUACUGGGCGUAAAGCGCACGCAGGCGGUCUGUCAAGUCGGAUGUGAAAUCCCCGGGCUCAACCUGGGAACUGCAUUCGAAACUGGCAGGCUUGAGUCUUGUAGAGGGGGGUAGAAUUCCAGGUGUAGCGGUGAAAUGCGUAGAGAUCUGGAGGAAUACCGGUGGCGAAGGCGGCCCCCUGGACAAAGACUGACGCUCAGGUGCGAAAGCGUGGGGAGCAAACAGGAUUAGAUACCCUGGUAGUCCACGCCGUAAACGAUGUCUACUUGGAGGUUGUGCCCUUGAGGCGUGGCUUCCGGAGCUAACGCGUUAAGUAGACCGCCUGGGGAGUACGGCCGCAAGGUUAAAACUCAAAUGAAUUGACGGGGGCCCGCACAAGCGGUGGAGCAUGUGGUUUAAUUCGAUGCAACGCGAAGAACCUUACCUGGUCUUGACAUCCACAGAAGAAUCCAGAGAUGGAUUUGUGCCUUCGGGAACUGUGAGACAGGUGCUGCAUGGCUGUCGUCAGCUCGUGUUGUGAAAUGUUGGGUUAAGUCCCGCAACGAGCGCAACCCUUAUCCUUUGUUGCCAGCGGUCCGGCCGGGAACUCAAAGGAGACUGCCAGUGAUAAACUGGAGGAAGGUGGGGAUGACGUCAAGUCAUCAUGGCCCUUACGACCAGGGCUACACACGUGCUACAAUGGCGCAUACAAAGAGAAGCGACCUCGCGAGAGCAAGCGGACCUCAUAAAGUGCGUCGUAGUCCGGAUUGGAGUCUGCAACUCGACUCCAUGAAGUCGGAAUCGCUAGUAAUCGUGGAUCAGAAUGCCACGGUGAAUACGUUCCCGGGCCUUGUACACACCGCCCGUCACACCAUGGGAGUGGGUUGCAAAAGAAGUAGGUAGCUUAACCUUCGGGAGGGCGCUUACCACUUUGUGAUUCAUGACUGGGGUGAAGUCGUAACAAGGUAACCGUAGGGGAACCUGCGGUUGGAUCACCUCCUUA
Molecule: ribosomal RNA, 1542 nt
Filed under: Salmonella enterica subsp. enterica serovar Thompson
Lineage: Bacteria; Pseudomonadati; Pseudomonadota; Gammaproteobacteria; Enterobacterales; Enterobacteriaceae
Also listed under: 2 other names
Description: bacterial SSU rRNA
Rfam family: Bacterial small subunit ribosomal RNA
Source: RNAcentral